Molecule: ribosomal RNA, 406 nt
Filed under: uncultured bacterium
Lineage: Bacteria
Description: partial 16S ribosomal RNA
Rfam family: Bacterial small subunit ribosomal RNA
Source: RNAcentral
AUUGAACGCUGGCGGCAGGCCUAACACAUGCAAGUCGAACGAGUGGCGGACGGGUGAGUAAUGUCUGGGAAACUGCCUGAUGGAGGGGGAUAACUACUGGAAACGGUAGCUAAUACCGCAUACCAUCAGAUGUGCCCAGAUGGGAUUAGCUUGUAGGUGGGGUAACGGCUCCCCAAGGCGACGAUCCCUCGCUGGUCUGAGAGGAUGACCAUCAACAUUGGAUCUGAGACACGGUCAAGACGCCUACGGGAGGAAGCAGUGGUGAAUAUUGCACAAUGGGCGCAAGUCUGAUGCAGCCAUGCCGAGUGUAUGAAGAAGGCCUUCGGGUUGUAAAGUACUUUCAGCGGGGAGGCGUUACCCGCAGAAGAAGCACCGGCUAACUCCGUGCCAGCAGCCGCGGUAAUUC